This 492-nucleotide ribosomal RNA is filed under the name uncultured bacterium. Its description in RNAcentral is "partial 16S ribosomal RNA". It matches the Rfam family "Bacterial small subunit ribosomal RNA", at positions 29 to 507 of the family's 1533-position model. The record is from RNAcentral.
AGUGAACGCUGGCGGUAGGCCUAACACAUGCAAGUCGAACGGCAGCACAGUAAGAGCUUGCUCUUACGGGUGGCGAGUGGCGGACGGGUGAGGAAUACAUCGGAAUCUACUUUUUCGUGGGGGAUAACGUAGGGAAACUUACGCUAAUACCGCAUACGACCUACGGGUGAAGGCAGGGGAUCUUCGGACCUUGCGCGAUUGAAUGAGCCGAUGUCGGAUUAGCUAGUUGGCGGGGUAAAGGCCCACCAAGGCGACGAUCCGUAGCUGGUCUGAGAGGAUGAUCAGCCACACUGGAACUGAGACGCGGUCCAGACUCCUACGGGAGGAAGCAGUGGGGAAUAUUGGACAAUGGGGGAAAGCCUGAUCCAGCCAUACCGCGUGGGUGAAGAAGGACUUCGGGUUGUAAAGCCCUUUUGUUGGGAAAGAAAAGCAGCAGGUUAAUACCCCGCUGUUCUGACGGUACCCAAAGAAUAAGCACCGGCUAACUUCGUG